Molecule: non-coding RNA, 29 nt
Filed under: Rattus norvegicus (Norway rat)
Lineage: Eukaryota; Metazoa; Chordata; Mammalia; Rodentia; Muridae
Source: RNAcentral
UUUGAUGAGAAGUCAAGGCAGGAACUCCA